AGUGAACGCUGGCGGUAGGCCUAACACAUGCAAGUCGAACGGCAGCACAGUAGGAGCUUGCUCUUACGGGUGGCGAGUGGCGGACGGGUGAGGAAUACAUCGGAAUCUACUUUUUCGUGGGGGAUAACGUAGGGAAACUUACGCUAAUACCGCAUACGACCUACGGGUGAAAGCAGGGGAUCUUCGGACCUUGCGCGAUUGAAUGAGCCGAUGUCGGAUUAGCUAGUUGGCGGGGUAAAGGCCUACCAAGGCGACGAUCCGUAGCUGGUCUGAGAGGAUGAUCAGCCACACUGGAACUGAGACACGGUCCAGACUCCGACGGGAGGCAGCAGUGGGGAAUAUUGGACAAUGGGCGCAAGCCUGAUCCAGCCAUACCGCGUGGGUGAAGAAGGCCUUCGGGUUGUAAAGCCCUUUUGUUGGGAAAGAAAAGCAGCAGGUUAAUACCCCGCUGUUCUGACGGUACCCAAAGAAUAAGCACCGGCUAACUUCGUG
Molecule: ribosomal RNA, 492 nt
Filed under: uncultured bacterium
Lineage: Bacteria
Description: partial 16S ribosomal RNA
Rfam family: Bacterial small subunit ribosomal RNA
Source: RNAcentral